This 3655-nucleotide long non-coding RNA is filed under the name Sus scrofa (pig). RNAcentral describes it as "lncRNA (ENSSSCG00000058989.1)". Lineage: Eukaryota; Metazoa; Chordata; Mammalia; Artiodactyla; Suidae. The record is from RNAcentral.
AAGCAGGAGCAAGAUAAUUUUUUCUUUGCUCUGUUCUCUGAUGACUGCCGCCACGUCUGGAUAUUGGGGCCAGAUCCUCUGUCCAAGGUGGUUUUCUCUGCAAAGGACACAGGUAUUUCCCACCUCCUUUUAGUUUCACUUCUGCCAAGUUUUUGAGGGCCAGGGGCUAAUCCACUAGAACAGUAUUUCCCUGUAGCUUGGUUUUUAAUUGUGUUCUGAAUUUAGUUUAUAUUCCUAAAUGGCUUUACAAGUUUUUUUCUCUUCAUGCCCUCAGAGGAAGUUAUGUGCUUCUGAACCUCUCGGGUACCAUUUUAGUACAUUAAGAAUUCCGUUCACUGAAUGAUACCCUUGUGGCCGGAAAGAGUUAAUACAAGUUUCUUAAGUACCUUAUUAAUUCCCAGGGAAUCAUUUAUGCAUUAGAGUGUAGCUUAGUAUCUCACCAGUUACAAAUAAACUAUGGAUUUUUUCCCCCCUUUGGAAAGUACAUUUGAGCCUUGAAAACAAAUGUAGAUAGAGCUUAAAUCUAGGAAUCCUGCUUUAGAAAUGAUUAAUCGUGUAAUGUUUCAGUGAGAGAAGGGGUCUAUUAUAAUAAUCAAGAUGAAGGGAGUUCAUAUUCCAGCUCGGUACUACAUUUCUCUGAGACUUUGGUAGCUUAACCUCUCCAUUUUCCUCACCUUGAACAUGGGGGCGAUGCCGAAGCCAGAAACGGCAUAGGACUGUGGUUAAGCACUUAGAUGUUCGUGUAUCAUGCAGGAGAACUGAGUAGGUACAGUUCCUGUCUUUGCUACUUGAUAACUGUGUGACCUCAAGCUAAUGAAUCUCUCCAGCUUAGCUUUGCUCACUUGUCAUCUGGAAUCAUGUUAGCAUCUAUCUCAUAAAGUUGUUAGGAAGAUUAACAGCUUGGUAAAUGUGAGCUGGAUUGUUGUUAUUCAUCAUUAUGACUUUUGAUGAGUGAUGCACAAGUGCCAAGUACUGUGCCUGGUACAUGGCAGCAGACUCUGAGUUAGGGGAUAGCUAAUGCUCUUAGAAGGUUCAUCUGCAGACAGUUCACGUUCAAGGUACAGAUGGAAUUCAGUCAGAGGACAGAACAAUUCGAUGUCUGCCAUUUGUUUCUCAUGUUGUUCGUCUGCCCUGUCUCUGGUGUGCAGUCCCCAGCAUUUUGUACGUCACCAUAAAGUUUGUGGCUGGCCUGCUCUUCCUUCUCUUUCUUUCCCCCAGGCAGAAGCAGCUUACUUUAGUUUUGGCAUUUUCUUCAUUGCCCUUCUGUAUGCUUGGGCCUCCCCUACUUUUGCUGCCUCCUUCCUUACUCUUCCAUUGCUUUCAGCUGCUCCGUGGUUGGGGAAAAAAAAAAAUCAGCCUGUAUUUACGUCUAUGACUUUGAUUUCAUGAGGGCAUGAUCUCACCCUUAUUAGACCAUGGCUCACUGUUACUUAAGGAGAAAGUCCUUCUUGAUGUUGGUCAUCUGAAAAAGAGGCCAGUUUCCCAGGCAGGAGCAUGGCGCAGGGGCUGGAGAGGAGGAGGGUGGUGGAACGAUGGAUUUUCUAGGAUGGAUCUGAGUGUGACUGACCAAGAUAUCCAGGAGGGAGCUGCCCCACUGCCUGUCUGGGAGGGACUGGUCAUGUGGAGGCAAAGAGAAGACUACGAAGCGUGGAAUAUGGGCAAGUAGCCUUUGAAGUUACAUUUGCCUUUUGGGACCAGAGUACAUGUGUCUUAAGAUAGCACCUUGUAGGUAGAUCUAAGGGUUUACUCCUUGCGCAUUGUUGGGCUGCUGAUAAAGUGGCAGCUGGAGGAGAAAGUUCAUCUUUUGGCCUCUAAAUGUUUCAUGCUGAUGCUGGUUUUUUUUUUUUUUUUUUUUUUACGUAGCACAAUAAUGAAAAUUCAUGAUGGUGGUGGUACUUGAGUGAGGUGCUCCAGUUACAAUAAGUUUGAUUUGAGAAGGGUAAACUAUUUUGAGUCAACUAGUAUGUAAUGGAUCAAAGGGGAGCAUGAGAGACCCCUCUAGCCCAACAAAUAAUAUGAUAAAAGUAAUAACAAAUGAAUAUGCCAUAAGGAAAAAGGGGCCCUUCAGCAGUGAGCUCAAAAAAUGAGACUUAGACCAAGUGUUGGUUAGUGCCUCUGUGAACAUGAUCUGUUGAAGAGGGUAACCUGUGGCAGGCGUGUUCUCCUAGUGGAACUGGAUACAACUUAGGAAAGAAGCAUGAACUUGUGUGUUUUUUUUCUUUCAUUUCACUUUUUUUUUUUUUUUGCCUAUGUGAUAUACAUUCCUGUAAAUAGAUAUCACCUCCACGUUUUUCCUUCCAUAAUUUAUUUUAUAAUGGUGUUUAUUUUUUUUCAUUAUAGCUGGAUUACAGUGUUGUCAGUUUUUCCACUGUGCAGCAUGGUGACCCAGGUACACAUACACAUUCUUUUUUGUCACAUUGUCAUGCUGCUGCAUCGUAAGUGACCAGAAGCAAGAACUUUUGAAGUCGAUAAAUAACUCUCUUUGUUCUAAUUCCGUAUCUACCCAUUGCUCGUCCGAUGCUACUCCACUGUAGUUCUCCAGUGUAGCUCACUUAUGGGGACAGAUUACAGUGACCAGAGAGUUAGGUAUUCAGUCAUCCUGGAAGUUAUUUUCUUGUAAAUUACUGACAAUAUUGAUAAACUGUCAUUUUGAUUAAUGUAGUUGAUAGCCUUUAAAUUUGGCAUGAGGUGUUUUUCCCGAAACCAGUCAACUCGUAAGACUGUGAUAAGGUGUCUGAGGUACAAGACUGAAUCUUACCUUGGACUACUAGCCCAUGAGGCAUUUGCAGACUUUUUCUAGUGAUACGCUGGAUUUUACUUGUAUAGUCACUCAGCAUGUCAUGUCAGUUUUGUCCAUUUUACAACAUUGAAGCUUGUAUAUGUUUAUUCACUUCUCAAAAUUAUUUAUGUAUGCUAUAAAUAGUUUGCUCAAAACUUAAACUUAGUGGGACAAUUAUAAUAGUUUUUUUUCCCAUUAAAAGUGAAAUAACACUGUCUUGUCUGUGAGAAAUUUGGCUUCACCUGAUUUUUAUUGUGGGAUUGAUGUAAAAAGAGAAACAUGAUGGAAUAGUAAAUACAAUUAGUGACAUCUGAUUGCUGCAAGGAUCAAUAAUAUCUGAUAGGUAGAUAUUUCUUUUGUGAUAAUAUACCUUGGUUUCACUGGCUACAACGAGAAGAAUAGAGAAUUUGAAAGCAGCUUGGUUACUGCCUAAACAGCAGUUAUUCUGAGUCGAUUGCCAUGAUUUUUAAUGGGUAGCUUUGUAUUUAAGUGGAUCGGGUAAAGACCAGAUGGUAGUUGUAUCAAAGUUCAUGAAGAUUUUAUGUCCGAUAUUUUGCCAUCAGCUGAAAACACUGGAAUUUAUUAACUAGGAAAGUUAAACAUCACCCCAUCCCAUUGAGGAAAACAAGCUUAUAAAUAACCAGAAUAAAAACUGAUGAACCAUUUUAUUUACCUAAUAAUUUACUGCCAUUAUCCACAAAGGGCACAGGUGGGAAGCCAGAAGAAAAUGGGCUUCAACACUCUUGUCUCCCACGAUGAGGCAAGAAUAGAGAAGAGGCAGGAGAAACAGUGCCAGAUAACAUCAUUAUAAACCCACAUGUCAGUGAUGACAGGAAGUGUCCAUAGACUAGAUGAUUCAGUUAAGACAAAGGUGGU